This 434-nucleotide ribosomal RNA is filed under the name uncultured bacterium. RNAcentral describes it as "bacterial SSU rRNA". It matches the Rfam family "Bacterial small subunit ribosomal RNA", at positions 29 to 507 of the family's 1533-position model. The record is from RNAcentral.
AACGAACGCUGGCGGCAGGCUUAACACAUGCAAGUCGAACGGACGUAGCAAUACGUUAGUGGCAGACGGGUGAGUAACGCGUGGGAAUGUGCCCUUUAGUUCGGAAUAACACAGAGAAAUUUGUGCUAAUACCGGAUAAUCCCGAGAGGGGAAAGAUUUAUCGCUGAAGGAGCAGCCCGCGUCUGAUUAGCUAGUUGGUGAGGUAAUGGCUCACCAAGGCGACGAUCAGUAGCUGGUCUGAGAGGAUGAUCAGCCACACUGGGACUGAGACACGGCCCAGACUCCUACGGGAGGCAGCAGUGGGGAAUAUUGGACAAUGGGGGCAACCCUGAUCCAGCCAUGCCGCGUGAGUGAUGAAGGCCUUAGGGUUGUAAAACUCUUUUGUCCGGGAAGAUAAUGACUGUACCGGAAGAAUAAGCCCGGCUAACUUCGUG